Molecule: ribosomal RNA, 468 nt
Filed under: uncultured bacterium
Lineage: Bacteria
Description: partial 16S ribosomal RNA
Rfam family: Bacterial small subunit ribosomal RNA
Source: RNAcentral
GACGAACGCUGGCGGCGUGCUUAACACAUGCAAGUCGAACGGAAAGGCCCUGCUUUUGUGGGGUGCUCGAGUGGCGAACGGGUGAGUAACACGUGAGUAACCUGCCCUUGACUUUGGGAUAACUUCAGGAAACUGGGGCUAAUACCGGAUAGGAGCUCCUGCUGCAUGGUGGGGGUUGGAAAGUUUCGGCGGUUGGGGAUGGACUCGCGGCUUAUCAGCUUGUUGGUGGGGUAGUGGCUUACCAAGGCUUUGACGGGUAGCCGGCCUGAGAGGGUGACCGGCCACAUUGGGACUGAGAUACGGCCCAGACUCCUACGGGAGGCAGCAGUGGGGAAUAUUGCACAAUGGGCGGAAGCCUGAUGCAGCAACGCCGCGGGCGGGAUGACGGCCUUCGGGUUGUAAGCCGCUUUCGCCUGUGACGAAGCGUGAGUGACGGUAAUGGGUAAAGAAGCACCGGCUAACUACGUG